GUAAGAAAAAUUACGCUGGGUCUCCUGGCUAACCUCAGAGUUGCUAGAAACCCACGCUGUGUGCGUGGAGAAAAUUUACACAAAUAGUAGCUACUAUACAACUGGGGUUACCUUUUGUCUAUUUUAUGAUAUCUACCACACAGUAAAAAAACUGUAUGUCUCAGUUGAAGGAAACAUGUCUCAAUUGAUUAUAUGUUGUUCCUGACUGCUAAUGCAAAACAGUGCUCAAAAAUUAACACUUCUUCCUCUAGAAAAACAGCAACAAAAUUAAGUUAAGUAAGUACGCUAAUAUAAGGUUUUAAAGGUACUGUCCGGUAAAAUAUUAAAACUUGAUAUUAGUUACAUCUCGGCACAAAAGUAAAGAAAAAAGUAUUUAAAUACAACCAAAAUUGUCUUUCAUAAGUUUAAACUGAAUUUGUUUACUUGACCAUGCCAUUCUUAAUCGCCAUCUUUACUGAACUUCGAACGCGGAAAAGGACUGGGUAAAAACAUUAAUAUGCGCAAUUUAUGCAAUGACGUAUUCUUUGGGUUACCCCCGUGUGUAGAGAGGCGCGUGGCGCAGAAAGAGAAAUAAAGAAAAAAAAGUUAAUGAUAUUCCCAACAGAAUUUUUUUACGUUUAUCAAUCAUCUUCACAAGCAGAAAUUAAAACAUAAUUGGAUUUCAGUUUGAGCUAGAACGGCCCAAUAACAAACAACAAAUUCCCUCUUAUAAUGACGAUGGCCCAGACGCACCAGAAUUACCCGCUGCUUCUCGCACAGAUUUAUAUAUCAGUGAGUGGUGCUUAUGUGAAAAUUGCGAGAGGAUGCCUUCAGCUGUUGAGUGUUUGUGCUGUAACGAGGUGGACACUAUCAAAUACUUACAACUACGAUAAGAAAUGUAUAACAGAGCAUACUAAACAGAGCACGAAGAUGUCAACGCGGUUGUGAUUUUAAAGAACACUUUGUGGACAGCGUUAGUCGCUCUCCACGAUCGGGAAAGCCGUGGACUUAAAAAAUCCCUAGCACUCUUGAAAUUUCUGUUGUCAUAGUAUUUCCAAUCUUAUUAUUUGAGGAUGAUAUUUUUAGAUCUUAUCGAUAUGCGGCAUACCGCCAAUUCUGUUGGUUUGUUCAUAACCACUUGGGAAAAGGCGUUCGUCGGGUUAUACCAUCUUGUUUCGUGUCUAAGAUACGUAGAGAAUAUCCAAGUACGAAUGGGAUGUAUACUGGCUUCAAAGAAGGUGAAGAAAUAUCUCAAAUUGAUUUUUCUCGGACAAAUGAAGUUGACGAUGAGAAUAUUUGAUUGUAAAUUAAAAACAACAGUCUUUUGCAGGAGAGGCGUUCGAUCGCACGCGCACGUCGUGGCACACGCGUAAAUCGUUUCAGGCGUGCGAUUAAUUGAACGCCUGAAAAAUUAAUAAUGAGUUUUAGAAAUCAAUCCUAUAAAAUCCCAUUUUACAGCGUGCGAUGGCAGCCUUCGAAAUAAUUUUUGGAGUCUCGUCAGACUUUCGUCGGACAAAACGUUGAUAGAUUUCCGUCUUCGCCGAACACUUUUAGAUCUCAGAAUUAUCGAAUAGUCCUGGUCAUUUUCAUCCACGAGCAAGCCUAUUCAUAGCCAACCUGACCAUCCUAGCUAAUUCACCAACUCCUGACUUAGCUAAAAGAACUACGUAGACAUGAAUGUCUUUUGCCUGGCCCCUUCGUCGUUGGUAACCAGGUCUUACACAAGAAAUCCAGCCAUGCGGUUCUUAACUUAUGCGGAGGUGAACACCGACGGAGCACGGAUGAAUCAAGUCUGCAAAACUGCACUUACGGGCGGAACAGACAUUUUAUCAUGGAUUUAAGUGUAGAUAAUUUCUUCAUUUGACAAAACAAUUGGAAACCAUAGCUGGUCCGAAUUUACUGUGGUUUUUUUCAUGCCCCAAGUGUUAUUUAAACAAUUUUAAUCUUUCUGGGGGCGUUUAAUGGGCGUUUAUUCGAAGCAUUACGGUAUAAAAAGUAUAAAUAUAAAUAACCUCAAACCAAGUAUUUCUUUUUGUGUGCUAAUUGAGGUAGCUUUGGUAAUAGAAUAGGGGUAUUGGGAACGAGGUUUAUAAUUGUGGAGGAAGUAUAAAAGUAUAUAAAACACAAUUUAUUUAAUGCGUUUGUAUUUUCUAUAAUUCCUUCUUUUGCUGGUCGGCUUUCUGGAGUACAAUAUAUGUACGAUAUGACAACAACAGUUGUCAUAUCGUUUGGUAUAUUACAAAAAAUGAUUCAGAUUCGUCAAGGAGUUUAACUUGUAAUGUCGCGUCAGAUUUUUUCAUUUCAUCAUCGCACGUUGCUGUCUGCGUUUAAGCAUUGGCCACUCCAACGGAUGUCUGCAUAGAUCUUUUACGUAAAUAAUCUUACCCGUGUCUGGUCUCAGUAUCGGCACAAAAAAUAAAGCAGCUUUAACAUAAUCUACUUUAAUUUGUGUAGAGUCAGACAUUCUGUUUGUGUGGACAUUAAGUUCUAUCUCUGAAAGUGAGUUGCAUGCUUUGAACUUAAAUAUUCAUAAAUUGCUACAUUUUUUUAAAAAGGGGGUAAAAUAUUUAAAAAAAAGAUUAAAUUAAUCUGGUAAUAUUGUUCAGAGUAAAACAAUCAUUUUCUAUUUACAAUGUUUUGACUUGCCGAGAACCCAACGCUUACGUCACAACAAAAUAUUAUUUUAGCCUCCCUUUCAUGUAGAAUGGCUUCGGUAUAAAUUUGCUUUUGACAACGUGCGAUAUGAAAAAUUUGUAAACAUAAAAGAAAUGUUAUUAAGUUGUAAAACUUUAGAAAUAUAACCACUUACAUUUUCGCAACAAAUAAGAGAAGUGCAAUUAAGUUCAGGCUACUUUUUUAUUAUUAUAUUUUUACUGGACAGUACCUUUAACAUAUGAUGCAAUCAAAGAACAUGUCUUUUUAAUUUUUUUAAAGUAGUAGACUUUUUGGGGUAAACACUUGAAUUAAUUGCUUUUGGUUCUGGAAUAAUAACACAAAUUAUAGAAAUAAUGUAUUUCUAUUGGAAUAAGUAGAUGCAACACAUUCAGUAUGCGUAGACUAUUUAUGGAAAUCUUUGGGGAAUGUGCAGGAAGGUGCCUCCUUCGUGCUUAGGUUUGGGAGGAUUAAGGGUGAUUUGUGUCCUGCCAAAGGUUUUUAGCAAUCUUUUACGUACCGAGGUACUCAUCAGGGUCCUUGGUUUGUUCUUUCAUCGGAGAAUUUGUUACUAGGAAGUUAGUUUCUGCCUUUGUAAAAAAUAGUGUGCAUGGGCCUGAUCUCAAUACGCAUAGCUUUAGGAUUGGUGGGGCCUCUGCUGCAGCAUCUUGUGGUAUUCCAGUCUCUGUCAUUGAGAUCUUAGGCAGGUGGUCCAGCGACUGUUAUCGUCGAUAUAUCCAUCUUCCAAAUAAAGUGUAACACAGUGUUCUAAAAUGGCCAACCUAAAUGACGUGCCUAAGUUGUGGGACAUUUAAUCCAUUUAAAUUUACAGAGUGAUUUUUGUUAUUUACUGUAAUUAUAAUUGUUAGACUAGGUCCUGUGGUUAGUAGUACACAAUUCGUGUCGUAAUAUGGAUUUUAUGUAUGUCAAGUAUUAUGACUUUGUGUUUUUUUUGGCUUUAGACUGUUAUUUGCUUUCUAUAGCUAUUUUAAAGUUUUACGUGUAUCUAGGCUCCUUUGUAUGUGUGUAUGUCGUUGACACAUAUAAGCCGGUACUCUUAAUGACUGACGUUUUCCUACAAAUACCCACACUAAUUUGGGGAAAUUUGGGGAUGUGGGCCUUUCUAUGUCAGCCAUAAACCAUUUGGACAGAUGCGUGUGUGAGGCUUAUGUAUCUUAUUAUUACUUGAUAUUAUUAUCACUUAUUAUCAUUACGGUGAGGCACACCCUUUUAUGAAUCCUGAUAUUAUUAUGUGGUAACACACGCUGGGCCAAUACUGGACCAGCUUGUGCAUUCCACCUUUAGCUCAUGAUUAUUGAUAACACAUGUUUAUUGGGUGCAGAAGACACCAUAUGUGAUUAUCGGUUUAUAGUGAAGUGCAAGUGUACCUUCGUGCAUGAGAAUAAAUUAUUAAAUAAGUAUAUAUGUAUUAAAUUAAAUAAUUAAUCAAUUAAAAGAAGUGAUAGGUAAAUGUGUAAUUAGUUGUGAAAUGUACCUCGUGAAUAGAGGAAAUGAGUAUGUAAUUCAUGCAUGAAGAGAUCUGGGUCAUGCCUUGGAAAUCAUUCACAAUAUUAUAAUCCAUGAGGACAUAAGCUUGUAAGGGUCAACAAAAAUGUACAUACUCUUAGGAAAUUACCCUCUUUGCCUUGGGCAAGCAUUUUGGUGUAAUUACCUUGUUAUGAUUACUAGCAGCAGGCGUUAUCUGUCCUGCCUUACUCAAUUAUUUUCUUACCUGGCAUCCUCGAUCCAUUCCCUAAA
This is a long non-coding RNA of Hydractinia symbiolongicarpus, 4389 nucleotides long. RefSeq lists it as uncharacterized. The transcript is spliced from 2 exons. Lineage: Eukaryota; Metazoa; Cnidaria; Hydrozoa; Anthoathecata; Hydractiniidae. The record is from RefSeq and is a predicted model, not a curated record.